This 462-nucleotide long non-coding RNA is filed under the name Capsella grandiflora. RNAcentral describes it as "long non-coding RNA (CGRA_LNC000907)". Lineage: Eukaryota; Viridiplantae; Streptophyta; Magnoliopsida; Brassicales; Brassicaceae. The record is from RNAcentral.
GUAAUGAGAGGUUGGAGAUGGGUUCUCUUCACGCUUUGCGUCAGACCUUUCACAGCUAACGACGAUGAGAGCUCUCAUCUCACAUUAAACAAACCUCAAGAGUCACGCAUUCUCUGUUUUGCUUUGUGGGGAACUUUUUAUUUUAUUAAUUGUUCUUGAGUUAUACACUUAUACACUUAUACUACUGUUUCUUUAAAUAAAUUGGAAGCCGAUAUGGUUUAGAUUGAACGGUUUAUGUAGACCUUUCAAAUUGUAAUCUACAUUGCAUUAAACCAAAAUACUCUAGUAUAUAUUAAGAGUGUUUAACGUAGUGGUAGUGGUAUCAUAUACCGUUCGAUCUAAAUCAUAAUCUAAUAGCCGAAUCUUUGAGUUUUUGUAUUGUUUGUUACUUUGUUGUAAUCAAUUUGUAAAUGUGAUUAGGCGCAAAACAAAAACAAAACUAUAAUGAAUGAGGAUUUGUUA